GAUGAAGAACGUAGCGAAAUGCGAUACUUGGUGUGAAUUGCAGAAUCUCGUGAACCAUCGAGUCUUUGAACGCAAGUUCCGCCCGAAGCCUCGGCUAAGGGCACGUCUGCCUGGGCGUCACGCAUCGCGUCUCCCCCAAACCGCCAAGGCGGAGGGGAAGGAAGAUGGCUUCCCGUGCCUCACCCGGGCGCGGUUGGCCUAAAUUUGGAGCCCGCGGCACUUAGCUCUCGCGGCGAUAGGUGGUGAACAAGGCCUUGGCCGUGCAAACAACCCGCUGCGAAGCUCUAUGUCACGUGCGCUCGUCGGACCCUUUGAAGUUGCCUUCGGUGACUUAAAACCUUUGCGACCCCAGGUCAGGCGGGGCUACCCGCUGAAUUUAAGCAUAUCAAUAAGCGGAGGA
Molecule: unclassified non-coding RNA, 400 nt
Filed under: soil metagenome
Description: partial contains 5.8S ribosomal RNA, internal transcribed spacer 2, and large subunit ribosomal RNA
Rfam family: 5.8S ribosomal RNA (bases 1-120)
Source: RNAcentral